CCCGCUGAACUUAAGCAUAUCAAUAAGCGGAGGAAAAGAAACUAACAAGGAUUCCCCUAGUAACUGCGAGUGAAGCGGGAAAAGCUCAAAUUUAAAAUCUGGCGGCUCCGUCGUCCGAGUUGUAAUUUAGAGAAGUGCUAUCGGCGCCGGACCGUGUACAAGUCUCCUGGAAUGGAGCGUCAUAGAGGGUGAGAAUCCCGUCUUUGACACGGACUACCGGGGCAUUGUGAUACGCUCUCAAAGAGUCGAGUUGUUUGGGAAUGCAGCUCAAAAUGGGUGGUAAAUUCCAUCUAAAGCUAAAUAUUGGCGAGAGACCGAUAGCGAACAAGUACCGUGAGGGAAAGAUGAAAAGAACUUUGGAAAGAGAGUUAAACAGUACGUGAAAUUGUUGAAAGGGAAACGCUUGAAGUCAGUCGCGUUGGCCAGGAAUCAACCUUGCUUUUGCUUGGCGUACUUUCUGGUUAAUGGGUCAGCAUCAAUUUUGACCGGUGGAUAAAGGUCAGGGGAAUGUGGCAUCUUCGGAUGUGUUAUAGCCUCUGGUCGCAUACAUCGGUUGGGAUUGAGGAACUCAGCACGCCGCAAGGCCGGGUUUUUAACCACGUACGUGCUUAGGAUGCUGGCAUAAUGGCUUUAAUCGACCCGUCUUGAAACACGG
This 655-nucleotide ribosomal RNA is filed under the name uncultured fungus. RNAcentral's name for it is "eukaryotic LSU rRNA". It matches the Rfam family "Eukaryotic large subunit ribosomal RNA", at positions 24 to 664 of the family's 3401-position model. Lineage: Eukaryota; Fungi. The record is from RNAcentral.